GAUAAACGCUGGCGGCGUGCAUGAGACAUGCAAGUCGAACGGACGAUCGAGGCUUGCUUCGAUCGUUAGUGGCGGACGGCUGAGUAACGCGUAGGUGACCUGCCCCGAAGUGGGGAAUAACUGCCCGAAAGGGUGGCUAAUACCGCAUGUGGUGGUGUGUUCAAUCACACCAGUAAAGCCGCAAGGCGCUUCGGGAGGGGCCUGCGUCCGAUUAGCUCGUUGGUGGGGUAACGGCNCACCAAGGCGACGAUCGGUAGGUGGUCUGAGAGGACGAUCACCCAGACUGGGACUGAGACACGGCCCAGACUCCUACGGGAGGCAGCAGUCGGGAAUUUUGCGCAAUGGGCGGAAGCCUGACGCAGCAACGCCGCGUGGGGAUGACGGCCU
Molecule: ribosomal RNA, 387 nt
Filed under: uncultured bacterium
Lineage: Bacteria
Description: bacterial SSU rRNA
Rfam family: Bacterial small subunit ribosomal RNA
Source: RNAcentral